UACAGAGGGUGCUAGCGUUGUUCGGAAUCAUUGGGCGUAAAGGGCGCGUAGGCGGCGCGGUAAGUCGGGUGUGAAAUCUCGGAGCUUAACUCCGAAACUGCAUUCGAUACUGCCGUGCUUGAGGACUGGAGAGGAGACUGGAAUUUACGGUGUAGCGGUGAAAUGCGUAGAUAUCGUAAGGAAGACCAGUGGCGAAGGCGGGUCUCUGGACAGUUCCUGACGCUGAGGCACGAAGGUCAGGGGAGCAAACGGG
Molecule: ribosomal RNA, 253 nt
Filed under: uncultured bacterium
Lineage: Bacteria
Description: partial 16S ribosomal RNA
Rfam family: Bacterial small subunit ribosomal RNA
Source: RNAcentral